This 57-nucleotide transfer RNA is filed under the name Loxodonta africana (African savanna elephant). It matches the Rfam family "tRNA", at positions 8 to 63 of the family's 71-position model. From Rfam's summary of the family: Transfer RNA (tRNA) molecules are approximately 80 nucleotides in length. Their secondary structure includes four short double-helical elements and three loops (D, anti-codon, and T loops). Lineage: Eukaryota; Metazoa; Chordata; Mammalia; Proboscidea; Elephantidae. The record is from Rfam by way of RNAcentral.
UGGCACAGUGGUUAAGCAUUUGGCUGCUAACCAAAAGGUCGAUAGUUCAAAUCUAUC